This 2842-nucleotide unclassified non-coding RNA is filed under the name Hevea brasiliensis (rubber tree). Lineage: Eukaryota; Viridiplantae; Streptophyta; Magnoliopsida; Malpighiales; Euphorbiaceae. The record is from RNAcentral.
AUUGAAUUGAGUUGAGUUCAGAUCAGGGGUUGAAGUCAUAGCUAAAGUAGAGCCCCUGCAGGCUUGACAAUUGUCAAUCUUAACAAGAAAGUAGCUCCAAUUGAAACAGACGGAAAUCGUUUCAAGUCAAUUAUUAAACCUCAAACUAUAAUAACUAAUUAGCGCAGUAACUUAAGAAUUCACCAAAUACCACCAAGUUGAAAAUUCAUUAAUGAAAUUUCCUGCUCGACUAAAAGUUUGUGAUUGCCAGAUAAUGACAAAUUUCCAUCCUCGAAAUGCAGGCAAUGUGGGAAAUCUUUCAAGCCAGAGAAAUUGCACAUACACAUGAAGUCCUGCAAAGGAAUGAAAUCUUCUGCAAAAACUGCAGCAGCUUCCGUCAGCAAGACUGCAUCACCAUCAAUGAAUUCCAUGAAUCAACUAAUGGCUGUUUCCUAACUACAUUUGCAACGGUUACAAAUAUCAAUAUUUGAUUGCAUACUCUUACAUUUUAGGAGAUGUGGAGCAUACUCUUAUAUUUGAUUUCUAAAGUAAUACCUUCUAGGAGAUUUAAACGUCCCCAAGAAACAGCACCAAGCACAAAUUGAGUGCAAGAACUUUUACAGAGAAUCUCUCUUUUUCAAGGAUGUAUAGAAUUCACUUCACCUGGAAACAACAACGCCUGCGCUUGUGCUCAAAUAGAAAGUGAACCUGAAGCAUCCAAAUGUCCACAGCUUUAGGACCUCCAGUGACACCAUGUGCCUAAUGUAGUUCAGCCCAUCCAUCGGUUACAUUCCAUAACUACAUAUCAUGAACGGGUAAAAGUUGAAUAUGCUUUCCUAAAAGGGAACCGCCACCAUCCUGAUUUCAUUAGCAAACCAAAUACAUUUAAAUAUACACCAUUAGAGCAACGAGAUUAUAAAGUUUAAGUCAAUGCCACCCUUCUGGUAGUAGGCUUUUCCUAGUUCAACAAUAGUUAAAAAGUUGGAGAUGUUAGAUAAGAUUCAUUUGAAUAACUUCUAGCAAUCCGAAGGCACUUGCAGUGUGUGUUUUAACCAGUUAACCAUAUACCCAAUGUCUAUGUGAAUUUGAAACCAAUCAGCUCCAAAGUAUGAUUUCAGUUAGUUCUCAUUUUAUAUGACUACUUAACCGCAGCAACAGCUGUAUCAACAUGCUCCAGUAGAAACCCAUAUAAUUUCUUCCUCAAGUCUUCUAUCCUCCCAUCAACCUUAACUCCCCAACCACCCCAAUCAUCUAGCCACUGAUUCACCCUUUUAAGCUGCCUUAGAAGAUAGGCAAUUUCAGAAUCUCCCCCCAUACAAAACUGAAAUCCAUUGUUCAAUGAAUUCUCCAUAUAAUUCAAGAACCAUUCAUGAGAAUGCAACAGCAGCUUUUCUGCUAAACUUGCUGUUUCCUUUAACCCACUUCCUUUAGGACAAUCAUUCUUUUUUGGGUCCAUUUUCUUCCAUGAAGAUGGCUCUUGCUCAGGGCUUGCAUCUGACAAGUUGCCAUGGUUUCUAGGUCUUCCUUUGAUUUGAGGUGAUUGAUUCUCAGAAUGCAAUUCCUCUGGGAUGCUUCCUAGGAUGACAUAAUGACAUUUAUCACUAUCCACCAUUUCACUCUUCUCUGGCUCCUUGAGCAAAAUGAAUUUCGAAAAGUUGGUCUCUAUGGCAGCAUGAACCCACAAUGCAGCAUUCUUAUUCAUUUUAGUUUUCCUUGCAUUAGGCAAUAAACAUUGUAGGCUAUCAUAAAAGCUUGACUUUGCUUCUAAAAGGCUAUCACUGAUUAAUGAAUUAAUCACCUUCGCUGCUUUCUGCAUAUUCUGAUGGAAGUCCAGAUACUUUUCCACUAGUGAUACUGAAGACAUAUUCUGAGAAGACUUGCACAGUUCUGCAAAUUCUCGAACACAAAGAAUGACAUUUUCAGCAGCUGAUGCCUCUUCCAGUGCACUUACAGCGGCCACAAAUGCAACGUUUCUGUGAUGCACGGUUUCCUUUCCAAGAUUUUGAAUGGCGGAAGGUACCGCAUCCCAUGAAAUCCUUUGCGCAGAGCAGUUUGUGGAACUAAGAGGCAACUUCACGAGACAGCUGGGAAUGGCGUGGUCAGUUGUAGACUUUAAUUCUUUCUUCAAAGGUCUUGUAGUGGCUUUAGGUGAAGAGACUUCAUUUUCGCUUUUCAACGGUGAAAUACUUACAGUUGGGCGCUUAAAUGAUAAAUCGUUCUUGGAAGAAGUUUUCUUAUAAGAUUGAAAAUUCUUGGACGAUUUCAAAGUCAUACUAGGUGUAGAAGAAGAUUUGGGCGUUGGAGUUUGAUUCCAGAUCCUCCUGGACGAGUCUAAACUCAAUCUCCUCAGCUCCAACCCUUCUGCCUUGGUCCCAUUCCCGAGUGAAUCCCUUCUCCUGGCCUUACAAUCCACUGUUAUCUUCUUCGGCAACCCAUCAGUCUUGGAUCCUUUCUUCUGUUUGCUAAAAUUCAUACUUGGUCUGAUAGGCAACAUAUCACUGGACACCAAAUCCUUGGGAUUUCCAACACAAGGUCGCCUCUUGGGCACGGGCUUCAACCCACGAAGCACUGGAACAGGCGAAGCCGAAUCCAGUCUAGAAACGUAGACAAACUGACCUAAUUGAAUCUUGUCGCUGUAUAUCAAAUCCACGUCCUCAUCUUGUACGGAGACAUAAGCGGAAUGCAGAGAGUCAGAAACCUUCAAGAAGAAACCUCUGCUCUGCCAAGGAUCGUCGGGUCCAGCGAGAAAAGGCAAGAUCUCAAGCACCUGGAGGAGAGCAGAGCGGUGUUCUCCAGUCACCCUCAAGUCCUUGUUGCCUGCAUUUUCGAGAAGCUUCGAUAGCAUCCCAGGCGUGAGGGACGC